This 468-nucleotide ribosomal RNA is filed under the name uncultured bacterium. Its description in RNAcentral is "partial 16S ribosomal RNA". It matches the Rfam family "Bacterial small subunit ribosomal RNA", at positions 28 to 507 of the family's 1533-position model. The record is from RNAcentral.
GACGAACGCUGGCGGCGCGCCUAACACAUGCAAGUCGAACGGAGCUGCGAGAAGCUUGCUUUUCUUAGCUUAGUGGCGAACGGGUGAGUAACGCGUGAGUAACCUGCCCUGGAGUGGGGGACAACAGUUGGAAACGACUGCUAAUACCGCAUAAGCCCACGAUCCGGCAUCGGAUUGAGGGAAAAGGAUUUAUUCGCUUCAGGAUGGACUCGCGUCCAAUUAGCUAGUUGGUGAGGUAACGGCCCACCAAGGCGACGAUUGGUAGCCGGACUGAGAGGUUGAACGGCCACAUUGGGACUGAGACACGGCCCCGACUCCUACGGGAGGCAGCAGUGGGGGAUAUUGCACAAUGGGGGAAACCCUGAUGCAGCGACGCCGCGUGGAGGAAGAAGGUUUUCGGAUUGUAAACUCCUGUCGUUAGGGACGAUAAUGACGGUACCUAACAAGAAAGCACCGGCUAACUACGUG